GUAGGUGGCAAGCGUUGUCCGGAAUUAUUGGGCGUAAAGCGCGCGCAGGCGGUUCUUUAAGUCUGAUGUGAAAGCCCACGGCUCAACCGUGGAGGGUCAUUGGAAACUGGAGAACUUGAGUACAGAAGAGGAAAGCGGAAUUCCACGUGUAGCGGUGAAAUGCGUAGAGAUGUGGAGGAACACCAGUGGCGAAGGCGGCUUUCUGGUCUGUAACUGACGCUGAGGCGCGAAAGCGUGGGGAGCAAACAGGAUUAGAUACCCUGGUAGUCCGCGCCGUAAACGAUGAGUGCUAAGUGUUAGGGGGGUUUUCCGCCCCCCUUAGUGCUGCAGCUAACGCAUUAAGCACUCCGCCUGGGAGUACGGCCGCAAGGCUG
Molecule: ribosomal RNA, 374 nt
Filed under: uncultured organism
Description: partial 16S ribosomal RNA
Rfam family: Bacterial small subunit ribosomal RNA
Source: RNAcentral